This 425-nucleotide ribosomal RNA is filed under the name uncultured bacterium. Its description in RNAcentral is "bacterial SSU rRNA". It matches the Rfam family "Bacterial small subunit ribosomal RNA", at positions 356 to 773 of the family's 1533-position model. The record is from RNAcentral.
GGGGAAUUUUGGACAAUGGGCGCAAGCCUGAUCCAGCCAUGCCGCGUGAGUGAAGAAGGCCUUCGGGUUGUAAAGCUCUUUCGGCCGGGAAGAAAUCGUGGUCUCUAACAUAGGCCAUGGAUGACGGUACCGGACUAAGAAGCACCGGCUAACUACGUGCCAGCAGCCGCGGUAAUACGUAGGGUGCGAGCGUUAAUCGGAAUUACUGGGCGUAAAGCGUGCGCAGGCGGUUUUGUAAGACAGAUGUGAAAUCCCCGGGCUUAACCUGGGAACUGCGUUUGUGACUGCAAGGCUAGAGUACGGCAGAGGGGGGUGGAAUUCCUGGUGUAGCAGUGAAAUGCGUAGAUAUCAGGAGGAACACCGAUGGCGAAGGCAGCCCCCUGGGCCUGUACUGACGCUCAUGCACGAAAGCGUGGGGAGCAAAC